RNAcentral lists this ribosomal RNA (465 nucleotides) under Vreelandella stevensii. RNAcentral describes it as "partial 16S ribosomal RNA". It matches the Rfam family "Bacterial small subunit ribosomal RNA", at positions 338 to 795 of the family's 1533-position model. The record is from RNAcentral. Lineage: Bacteria; Pseudomonadati; Pseudomonadota; Gammaproteobacteria; Oceanospirillales; Halomonadaceae.
UCUACGGGUGGCAGCAGUGGGGAAUAUUGGACAAUGGGCGAAAGCCUGAUCCAGCCAUGCCGCGUGUGUGAAGAAGGCCUUCGGGUUGUAAAGCACUUUCAGUGGGGAAGAAAGCCUUGGGGCUAAUACCCUCGAGGAAGGACAUCACCCACAGAAGAAGCACCGGCUAACUCCGUGCCAGCAGCCGCGGUAAUACGGAGGGUGCGAGCGUUAAUCGGAAUUACUGGGCGUAAAGCGCGCGUAGGCGGUCUGAUAAGCCGGUUGUGAAAGCCCCGGGCUCAACCUGGGAACGGCAUCCGGAACUGUCAGGCUAGAGUGCAGGAGAGGAAGGUAGAAUUCCCGGUGUAGCGGUGAAAUGCGUAGAGAUCGGGAGGAAUACCAGUGGCGAAGGCGGCCUUCUGGACUGACACUGACGCUGAGGUGCGAAAGCGUGGGUAGCAAACAGGAUUAGAUACCCGAGUAGUC